This 442-nucleotide ribosomal RNA is filed under the name uncultured bacterium. Its description in RNAcentral is "bacterial SSU rRNA". It matches the Rfam family "Bacterial small subunit ribosomal RNA", at positions 29 to 511 of the family's 1533-position model. The record is from RNAcentral.
AACGAACGCUGGCGGCAGGCCUAACACAUGCAGGUCGAACGCUCGUAGCAAUACGAGAGUGGCAGACGGGUGAGUAACACGUGGGAACCUUCCCUAUGGUUCGGAAUAGCUCAGGGAAACUUGAGGUAAUACCGGAUAAGCCCUUACGGGGAAAGAUUUAUCGCCAUUGGAUGGGCCCGCGUCGGAUUAGCUAGUUGGUGAGGUAACGGCUCACCAAGGCGACGAUCCGUAGCUGGUCUGAGAGGAUGAUCAGCCACACUGGGACUGAGACACGGCCCAGACUCCUACGGGAGGCAGCAGUGGGGAAUAUUGGGACAAUGGGCGCAAGCCUGAUCCAGCCAUGCCGCGUGAGUGACGAAGGCCUUAGGGUUGUAAAGCUCUUUUGGCGGGGUAAGAUAAUGACGGUACCCGCAGAAUAAGCUCCGGGCUAACUUCGUGCCAG